Molecule: ribosomal RNA, 492 nt
Filed under: uncultured bacterium
Lineage: Bacteria
Description: partial 16S ribosomal RNA
Rfam family: Bacterial small subunit ribosomal RNA
Source: RNAcentral
AGUGAACACUGGCGGUAGGCCUAACACAUGCAAGUCGAACGGCAGCACAGUAAGAGCUUGCUCUUACGGGUGGUGAGUGGCGGACGGGUGAGGAAUACAUCGGAAUCUACUUUUUCGUGGGGGAUAACGUAGGGAAACUUACGCUAAUACCGCAUACGACCUACGGGUGAAAGCAGGGGAUCUUCGGACCUUGCGCGAUUGAAUGAGCCGAUGUCGGAUUAGCUAGUUGGCGGGGUAAAGGCCCACCAAGGCGACGAUCCGUAGCUGGUCUGAGAGGAUGAUCAGCCACACUGGAACUGAGACACGGUCCAGACUCCUACGGGAGGCAGCAGUGGGGAAUAUUGGACAAAGGGCGCAAGCCUGAUCCAGCCAUACCGCGUGGGUGAAGAAGGCCUUCGGGUUGUAAAGCCCUUUUGUUGGGAAAGAAAAGCAGCAGGUUAAUACCCCGCUGUUCUGACGGUACCCAAAGAAUAAGCACCGGCUAACUUCGUG